RNAcentral lists this ribosomal RNA (492 nucleotides) under uncultured bacterium. RNAcentral describes it as "partial 16S ribosomal RNA". It matches the Rfam family "Bacterial small subunit ribosomal RNA", at positions 29 to 507 of the family's 1533-position model. The record is from RNAcentral.
AGUGAACGCUGGCGGUAGGCCUAACACAUGCAAGUCGAACGGCAGCACAGUAAGAGCUUGCUCUUACGGGUGGCGAGUGGCGGACGGGUGUGGAAUACAUCGGACUCUACUUUUUCGUGGGGGAUAACGUAGGGAAACUUACGCUAAUACCGCAUACGACCUACGGCUGAAAGCAGGGGAUCUUCGGACCUUGCGCGAUUGAAUGAGCCGAUGUCGGAUUAGCUAGUUGGCGGGGUAAAGGCCCACCAAGGCGACGAUCCGUAGCUGGUCUGAGAGGAUGAUCAGCCACACUGGAACUGAGACACGGUCCAGACUCCUACGGGAGGCAGCAGUGGGGAAUAUUGGACAAUGGGCGCAAGCCUGAUCCAGCCAUACCGCGUGGGUGAAGAAGGCCUUCGGGUUGUAAAGCCCUUUUGUUGGGAAAGAAAAGCAGCAGGUUAAUACCCCGCUGUUCUGACGGUACCCAAAGAACAAGCACCGGCUAACUUCGUG